CCGACCUCCUGCCGGCGAAGACGGGUCAUAAGAUGAAGGGUAAGGCAGGGGGUGUCGAGGGGCUGAAUGAGCCGGUCUCGGGGUCCCGAGAGCCCACCGGGUGAGGCUGCCUCAAUUAGCUUGGAAGGAGAAAAGAGACAGACAGAGACAGACAGACGGACGGAUGGACAGAGCCUCAGAAUUUAGCAAGAAAUGCUCUGGAAGCCUUCUCCUCGGUGCACAGAUUGAGAGAUUGAACCUAGGGAAGUGGAUAUGUUGUCAAGAUCACACUGUGAGUGGUCAGCAGUUCUGUUUUAUGAUUCAGU
This 305-nucleotide long non-coding RNA is filed under the name Urocitellus parryii (Arctic ground squirrel). RNAcentral's name for it is "lncRNA (ENSUPAG00010001127.1)". Lineage: Eukaryota; Metazoa; Chordata; Mammalia; Rodentia; Sciuridae. The record is from RNAcentral.